CCUACGGGCGGCAGCAGUGGGGAAUAUUGCACAAUGGGGGAAACCCUGAUGCAGCGACGCCGCGUGAGUGAAGAAGUAUUUCGGUAUGUAAAGCUCUAUCAGCAGGAACGAGACAAGACGGUACCGGACUAAGAAGCCCCGGCUAACUACGUGCCAGCAGCCGCGGUAAUACGGAGGGGGCAAGCGUUAACCGGAAUCACUGGGUUUAAAGGGAGCGUAGACGGCUGUGCAAGCCUGAAGUGAAAGGCGGGGUCCCAACCCCUGGACUGCUUUGGGAACUGUACGGCUGGAGUGCAGGAGAGGUAAGUGGAAUUCCUAGUGUAGCGGUGAAAUGCGUAGAUAUUAGGCGGAACACCAGUGGCGAAGGCGGCUUACUGGACUGUAACUGACGUUGAGGCUCGAAAGCGUGGGGAGCAAACAGGAUUAGAUACCCUUGUAGUC
This 441-nucleotide ribosomal RNA is filed under the name uncultured bacterium. RNAcentral describes it as "partial 16S ribosomal RNA". It matches the Rfam family "Bacterial small subunit ribosomal RNA", at positions 338 to 795 of the family's 1533-position model. The record is from RNAcentral.